GAUAGUGUGGCCGAGUGGUCUAUGGCGCUGGUGUUAGGCACCAGUCUCUUCGGAGGCAAGGGUUCGAAUCCCUUCACUGUCA
RNAcentral lists this transfer RNA (82 nucleotides) under Daphnia pulicaria. RNAcentral describes it as "tRNA-Leu". It matches the Rfam family "tRNA". From Rfam's summary of the family: Transfer RNA (tRNA) molecules are approximately 80 nucleotides in length. Their secondary structure includes four short double-helical elements and three loops (D, anti-codon, and T loops). Lineage: Eukaryota; Metazoa; Arthropoda; Branchiopoda; Diplostraca; Daphniidae. The record is from RNAcentral.